RNAcentral lists this transfer RNA (85 nucleotides) under bacterium. Its description in RNAcentral is "tRNA-Leu". It matches the Rfam family "tRNA". From Rfam's summary of the family: Transfer RNA (tRNA) molecules are approximately 80 nucleotides in length. The record is from RNAcentral.
GCUCGGAUGGUGGAAUUGGUAGACACGCAGGUCUCAGAAGCCUGUGGGUAAAACCGUGAGAGUUCGAGUCUCUCUCCGAGCACCA